UACGUAGGGUGCAAGCGUUGUCCGGAUUUAUUGGGCGUAAAGAGCUCGUAGGCGGUUUGUCGCGUCGGAUGUGAAAACCCAGGGCUCAACCCUGGGCCUGCAUUCGAUACGGGCAGACUAGAGUAUGGCAGGGGAGACUGGAAUUCCUGGUGUAGCGGUGAAAUGCGCAGAUAUCAGGAAGAACACCCGUAGCGAAGGCGGCUCUCUGGGACGGUACUGACGCUGAGACGCGAAAAGCGUGGGGGAGCGAACAGG
RNAcentral lists this ribosomal RNA (255 nucleotides) under uncultured bacterium. RNAcentral describes it as "partial 16S ribosomal RNA". It matches the Rfam family "Bacterial small subunit ribosomal RNA", at positions 524 to 776 of the family's 1533-position model. The record is from RNAcentral.